GUGAAGAACUCUGGAAUGAGUCUUUGCCAAAAAGACGUUUACGUUAUGCUCGUAGGCGUCGCCCAAGGAUGAGGCCGCGACCGAUCAGGUUGUUGGUGAGGUAAUGGCUCACCAAGCCUUUUACCGGUGCGGGCCGUGAGAGCGGGAGCCCGGAGAUGGGCACUGAGACAAGGGCCCAGGCCCUACGGGGCGCAGCAGUCGCGAAAACUUUGCAAUACACGAAAGUGUGACAGGGCUAUCCCGAGUGCCAUCCGCUGAGGAAGGCUUUUACCCAGUCUAGAACGCUGGGGGAAUAAGGAGAGGGCAAGUCUGGUGUCAGCCGCCGCGGUAAUACCAGCUCUCCGAGUGGUGUGGAUGUUUAUUGGGCCUAAAGCAUCCGUAGCUGGCUGAGUUAGUCCCUUGUUAAAUCCACCGAAUUAAUCGUUGGAUUGCGGGGGAUACUGCUCGGCUAGGGGACGAGAGAGGCAGACGGUAUUUCCGGGGUAGGGGUGAAAUCCUAUAAUCCCGGGAAGACCACCAGUGGCGAAGGCUGUCUGCUAGAACGCGCCCGACGGUGAGGGAUGAAAGCUGGGGGAGCGAACCGGAUUAGAUACCCGGGUAGUCCCAGCUGUAAACGAUGCAGGCUAGGUGUUUGGACGGCCACGUGCCGUUCUAGUGCCGCAGGGAAGCUGUUAAGCCUGCCGCCUGGGGAGUACGAUCGCAAGAUUGAAACUUAAAGGAAUUGGCGGGGGAGCACCAUAAGGGGUGAAG
This 750-nucleotide ribosomal RNA is filed under the name uncultured archaeon. Its description in RNAcentral is "bacterial SSU rRNA". It matches the Rfam family "Archaeal small subunit ribosomal RNA", at positions 156 to 893 of the family's 1478-position model. The record is from RNAcentral.